AACACUGUUAACCUGCGGUACCUGCGGAGGGAUCAUUACAGAGUUCGUGCCCUCGCGGGUAGAUCUCCCACCCUUGUGUAUUUUCUACAUCUUGUUGCUUUGGCAGGCCGUUGGUUCGCCAACCACCGGCUCGCGGGCUGGUGCGUGCCUGCCAGAGGACCUCUCAAACUCGGUUUGUUAGUGUCGUCUGAGUACCAUAACAAUCGUUAAAACUUUUAACAAUGGAUCUCAGAUCGGAAG
Molecule: unclassified non-coding RNA, 240 nt
Filed under: soil metagenome
Description: partial contains 5.8S ribosomal RNA, internal transcribed spacer 2, and large subunit ribosomal RNA
Source: RNAcentral